This 303-nucleotide ribosomal RNA is filed under the name uncultured bacterium. RNAcentral's name for it is "partial 16S ribosomal RNA". It matches the Rfam family "Bacterial small subunit ribosomal RNA", at positions 507 to 808 of the family's 1533-position model. The record is from RNAcentral.
AGCAGUCGCCGCGGUAAUACAGAGGGUGCGAGCGUUAAUCGGAUUUACUGGGCGUAAAGCGUGCGUAGGCGGCUUCUUAAGUCGGAUGUGAAAUCCCUGAGCUUAACUUAGGAAUUGCAUUCGAUACUGGGAAGCUAGAGUAUGGGAGAGGAUGGUAGAAUUCCAGGUGUAGCGGUGAAAUGCGUAGAGAUCUGGAGGAAUACCGAUGGCGAAGGCAGCCAUCUGGCCUAAUACUGACGCUGAGGUACGAAAGCAUGGGGAGCAAACAGGAUUAGAUACCCCGUAGUCCCUGUCUCUUAUACC